This is a long non-coding RNA of Bos taurus (domestic cattle), 1619 nucleotides long. The record is from Ensembl. NCBI's taxonomy places the organism in Eukaryota, Metazoa, Chordata, Mammalia, Artiodactyla, Bovidae.
ACCCAGCUAUCGAACCUAAGAAGGUAGAAGAAAAGCCCUUCCUCGCCUACACGGGAGCCUCCAGAUCCAAGACUGCUGGUGGGUGAUCUGAGGCCACCUUUACUCCUGCUGUGAAUUCCUUCAAGUUGCUGCAAAUGCUUCUAAGUUCUCUCUCAGAACCUGAUAGAAGGAAGGCAGGAGAGAUGGAGAGAGCCCUGUACUAGGCUGUCAUUUCCUCCUCUGUAAGAAAGACAAGGAGAUCCAACCCGUCCAUCCUAAAGGAGAUCAGUCCUGAACAGUCAUCAGAAGGACUGAUGGUGAAGUUGAAACUCCAAUACUUUGGCCACCUGAUGCGAAGAGCUGAUUCAUUUGAAAAGACCCUGAUGCUGGGAAAGAUUGAAGGCAGGAGGAGAAGGGGACGACAGAGGAUGAGAUAGUUGGAUGGCAUCACUGACUCAAUGGGCAUGAGUUUGGGUAAGCUCCGGGAGUUGGUGAUGGACAGGGAGGCCUGGCGUGCUGCAGUCCGUGGGGUCUCAAAGAGUCAGACACGACUGAAUGACUGAACUGAACUGAACUGAAGAAGGGCAGAGGUGGGAAGCCUAGAUUGAGUCACUGCUCUAAUCGUUUACUGCUGAAAACGCAGUGAGCCAAUUGCUGAGACUUUGGGGUGAGCAAGAGACAGGAUUUGUUGCAUGAUGAUUUGUACUAUCAUCCUGUUGAAUAACUGGCUGGAUACCUACUUGAUACUGUUUCCCUCGCUUUCUUUACUUAAAUGAUCUACUCUCUAAUUGCUUUUCUUCUCUUAAGUGGGUAUUAAGGAGAUAUCCAAUUUUUUCUCUCUUGGCUUAUAGCCACGGCUUCUUGUCCCAGAGGUUUCUGAGCCUGUGAAUAAUUAUCUGGCUUAAGUAAGGGAUGCCCUGAAGGUAAUAGCAUACAAGGUUGCUCAAGGUUCAGGUUUGCUUUUACUUCCUAUGUAACACUCUCUCCUCUAAAACCUUCUACAGUGAUAAUAUUACCUCCAAUAUCAUUUUACAUUUCCACAGAAAUUUUUCCUAGAAUAUCUUUCUUGUUACUUACACCAGGAUCCAUACAGGCUUUAGCAAGGAAAAAGGACAAGUGAACGUCCUCAGUUAUGUUGGAGGGGUUCCUCAAAGCUGCUUUCUAACUCGACCAUUUCAUUUUCCAAUAUUUGUGGCAAAUAUAUAGGAAGAAUUGAUUUUUGUAUGUUGACCAUGAAUCCUAGAGUUUUGCCUAACUCACUGAUUAGAUUUUUUAAUAUUUAUUUAGUAUUUUGUAUUUAUUUGGCUGAGUCGGGUCUUAGUUGCUGCGUGUAGGAUCUUUCAUCUUAGUUGCAGCACAUAGGACCUUGUUCUCUGACCAGGGAUCAGACCCUGGCCCCCUGCAUUGGGAGCAUGCAGUCUUAACCGCUGGACCACUAGGGAAGUCCCUGAUUAGCUUUAGUAGAUUGCAAAUCCCUUUGAAUCUUGUGUCUACAACAUCUUGUCCAUAAAUAAUACUUUUAUUUUUUUAAUUUUCAAACAAUGUGCUUUUUAUUUCUUUUUUCCCAUGACUGUACAUACUUGAACCUCCAAUAUAAUGUUGAAUAUAAGUAGUAAUAGCAAACAUUUUCAUCUUAUCUA